RNAcentral lists this ribosomal RNA (301 nucleotides) under uncultured bacterium. Its description in RNAcentral is "partial 16S ribosomal RNA". It matches the Rfam family "Bacterial small subunit ribosomal RNA", at positions 510 to 808 of the family's 1533-position model. The record is from RNAcentral.
CACCGCCGCGGGAAUACGGAGGGUGCAAGCGUUAAUCGGAAUUACUGGGCGUAAAGCGCACGCAGGCGGUCUGACAAGUCAGAUGUGAAAUCCCCGGGCUUAACCUGGGAACUGCAUUUGAAACUGUCAGGCUGGAGUCUUGUAGAGGGGGGUAGAAUUCCAGGUGUAGCGGUGAAAUGCGUAGAGAUCUGGAGGAAUACCGGUGGCGAAGGCGGCCCCCUGGACAAAGACUGACGCUCAGGUGCGAAAGCGUGGGGAGCAAACAGGAUUAGAUACCCCAGUAGUCCCUGUCUCUUAUACA